ACGCUUUUAGUUUAAAGGUAAAAUAUAAGUUUCCAAAACUAUAAGAUGAAGGUUCAAAUCCCUCAAAGCGUG
This 72-nucleotide transfer RNA is filed under the name Nephromyces sp. ex Molgula occidentalis. RNAcentral describes it as "tRNA-Trp". It matches the Rfam family "tRNA". From Rfam's summary of the family: Transfer RNA (tRNA) molecules are approximately 80 nucleotides in length. Their secondary structure includes four short double-helical elements and three loops (D, anti-codon, and T loops). Lineage: Eukaryota; Apicomplexa; Aconoidasida; Nephromycida. The record is from RNAcentral.